RNAcentral lists this ribosomal RNA (57 nucleotides) under Anoplocephala perfoliata. Its description in RNAcentral is "partial 18S ribosomal RNA". Lineage: Eukaryota; Metazoa; Platyhelminthes; Cestoda; Cyclophyllidea; Anoplocephalidae. The record is from RNAcentral.
GUCGUACAGGUUUCCGCUAGGUGACCUGCGGAAGGAUCAUUACACGUUCCAAAUUAC